RNAcentral lists this long non-coding RNA (526 nucleotides) under Mytilus galloprovincialis (Mediterranean mussel). The record is from RNAcentral. Lineage: Eukaryota; Metazoa; Mollusca; Bivalvia; Mytilida; Mytilidae.
AUUUUAGGAGGUGGAAGACCUGGAUGCUUCAUACUUUGUAUAUAGAUGCUUCAUGUUACAAAGUUUCCGUCAGUCACAUGUCCAAUGUCCUUGACCUCAUUUUCAUGGUUCAGUGACCACUUGAAAAAAAAGUUCAAAUUUUUUGUAAUGUUGAAUUCUCUCUUAUUAUAAGUAAUAGGAUAACUAUAUUUGAUAUGUGCGUACCUUGCAAGGUCCUCAUGUCUGUCAGACAGUUUUCACUUGACCUCGACCUCAUUUCAUGGAUCAGUGAACAAGGUUAAGUUUUGGUGGUCAAGUCCAUAUCUCAGAUACUAUAACCAAUAGGGCUAGUAUAUUCAGUGUAUGGAAGGACUGUAAGGUGUACAUGUCCAACUGACAGGUGUCAUCUGACCUUGAACUCAUUUUCAUGGUUCAGUGGUUUUAGUUAAAUUUUUGUGUUUUGGUCUGUUUUUCUCAUACUAUAUGCAAUAGGUCUACUAUAUUUGUUGUUUGGAAUGAUUGUAAGGUGUACAUGUCUAGCGGGCAG